GAUUAUUCCCAGAAACAGCUGAGCAACCUUCCCCUUAUGGACAAAUUUCAUUUUGACAAGCUCACUCUUUCUUUUCAAAGGUGAGGCUCUACAAUUUGUGUGGCUUUUGAGUCUCAGAAAAAAUUGUGAGAUUAGUCGUUCUGUUGCUCUGAUUUUGCAGGUCAGAGAGCUGAGAAGUGAGGUCACAUGACUUGGCCUUCCUGACAUGACUGGUAGGUCAAGAGGGGGCCUCUUACCAAUUGGGUCCCCUACUGGUCAGCCAUUAAUUCCCCUCCCUCCUCAUAUAAAUUUAUUCUUGCCAUACUUUACUACCCUAAAAAUUCAGUGUCCACAUGGCUAGAACUACAGAAUUUGACAGCUCCUUAACAGACAAGUGAGGAGAGUGAGGCCCUCGGGCUUGGCUAAGGCCUAAUUGAAUGAAUGUUAGGGACAUGGGCAUUGGACCCUUGGUUUGGCAGAGCCCACAUGGAGGCCACAGGACACAGCCACUCUUCCGUGUUAGUCACAUUUCAUUUUUGCUUGUAAUUUCUGUUCUCCUGGUUCCAUCAAAUGGAGUCAGCAGAACAAGAAAUCGCAUGUAGUUGGGAUGCCAGACAGCUUGAAGAUGUGCAGGGCUACCCAUGGAGUCAGUCUUGCCAUCUCUUUUCCUCUAAGUCCCCAAGGGUUAACAUCAUUUCUUUAUUUUUCCUUCCUGAGAUGGAGAUACCUGGAAGAUGUGAGAAGUGACCCUCUGGUUCACAAAUGUCCUGCUGCAACUAUCCCUCUUCCCUCUGAUAUGUAUGCCAGAUGUUUUUCUUUCUGUUCAGGAUUAAUCACAAUAACAACAGCAACAAAAACAGCCAUAAUAAUAACUUCACCUACCAAAUCAGAAACAAGGACAGCAAAUAUUGAAGGAGUACAGUAUGUGUAUAUUAUCUCCUUUGAGCCAACGACAGACCUCUGAUUCCAAUGCUCUUGGUGGUCCAAUUGUCGGAGGAAUUAAAUGAUGCUAAGUGACAGACUUGGGCUUUUUAUAUUUCUGUUUUAAUAUUUCAUUUUCCUUCAUCCUACACGCAUUCAAAGAUGGCAAAGAAAUACACAUUGCUAGCAGAAAAAGUUCCUGCAGGCUCAGUUCAGACUCUGGGGCCUCCCCCAGAUGUCACUUUGGCCUUUCUUUUGACUCUAAGUACCUUAAGGUUAACCUUAUUUCUCUCUUAAUUGGUUCUAGAAUUAUUCUCAGUAAGAGCUGAGUCUUUCUCCUGUGGACUAGUUUCAUUUUGACAAGCUCACUGUUUCUUUUCAAAGGUGAGUUUCCAGAUUUGCAUUUGUUUCAGGAAUUUAAAAUAGGUUGGGGCUCAGGGCUUAAGUCAGGGAAAGCCAGGGAAUUUACCUCUUGAUGGACCUUUGAAAUAGUUCCUCUUGUGCUCACUUCGGCAGCACAUAUACUAAAAUUGGAAGGAUACAGAGAAGAUUAGCAUGGCCCCUGCGCAAGGAUGACACGCAAAUUCGUGAAGCAUUCCAUAUUUUUUAUGGAGAUGCUUGCCUUUUCAAUGAGGGUGGGUGGGGAGGGAGGAAGGGAGAAAAUUUGUAACCCAAAGUUUUAAAAACAUAUGUUAAAAAUUAAAAAAAGAAAAAAAAAAGAAAUAGUUCCCCUGUACUUUUGACAUCUUUGCUUGAAAAUGCUCAUGGGCAUCUCUAAUAACAACAACAACAAAAAAAGAACUCCCUUGUGUGCAACAAGCUCUACAAUUUGUAUGGCUUUUGAGCCUCAGAAUAAAUUGUGAGAUUAGUGGUUUUCUUGCUCUGAU
This 1787-nucleotide long non-coding RNA is filed under the name Phascolarctos cinereus (koala). The record is from RNAcentral. Lineage: Eukaryota; Metazoa; Chordata; Mammalia; Diprotodontia; Phascolarctidae.